GAUCAAGCGACUAAGUGCAUCUGGUGGAUGCCUUGGCGAUCAUAGGCGAUGAAGGACGUGUAAGCCUGCGAAAAGCGCGGGGGAGCUGGCAAUAGAGCAUUGAUCCCGCGAUGUCCGAAUGGGGAAACCCACCUCUUUUGAGGUAUCCCUGGCUGAAUCCAUAGGCCAGCGGAGGCGAACCCGGCGAACUGAAACAUCUAAGUAGCCGGAGGAAAAGAAAUCAACCGAGAUUCCGCAAGUAGU
RNAcentral lists this ribosomal RNA (243 nucleotides) under Laribacter hongkongensis. RNAcentral describes it as "partial 23S ribosomal RNA". It matches the Rfam family "Bacterial large subunit ribosomal RNA", at positions 1 to 247 of the family's 2925-position model. The record is from RNAcentral. Lineage: Bacteria; Pseudomonadati; Pseudomonadota; Betaproteobacteria; Neisseriales; Aquaspirillaceae.